RNAcentral lists this ribosomal RNA (1299 nucleotides) under Pseudomonas fluorescens. RNAcentral describes it as "bacterial SSU rRNA". The stretch from base 267 to 1299 matches the Rfam family "Bacterial small subunit ribosomal RNA", at positions 1 to 1029 of the family's 1533-position model. Lineage: Bacteria; Pseudomonadati; Pseudomonadota; Gammaproteobacteria; Pseudomonadales; Pseudomonadaceae. The record is from RNAcentral.
AGGUUUCCGAAGCGAAACUUUGAAAAUUUCUGAAAAUAACCGCUUGACAGAUACACGGGGCGCUGUAGAAUGCGCGCCUCGGUUGAGACGAAAGACUCAGCCAACCGCUCUUUAACAACUGAAUCAAGCAAUUCGUGUGGGUGCUUGUGGAGUCAGACUGCUAGUCAACAGAUUAUCAGCAUCACAAGUUACUCCGCGAGAAAUCAAAGAUGUAACCAACGAUUGCUGAGCCAAGUUUAGGGUUUUCUCAAAACCCAAAGAUGUUUGAACUGAAGAGUUUGAUCAUGGCUCAGAUUGAACGCUGGCGGCAGGCCUAACACAUGCAAGUCGAGCGGUAGAGAGAAGCUUGCUUCUCUUGAGAGCGGCGGACGGGUGAGUAAUGCCUAGGAAUCUGCCUGGUAGUGGGGGAUAACGCUCGGAAACGGACGCUAAUACCGCAUACGUCCUACGGGAGAAAGCAGGGGACCUUCGGGCCUUGCGCUAUCAGAUGAGCCUAGGUCGGAUUAGCUAGUUGGUGAGGUAAUGGCUCACCAAGGCGACGAUCCGUAACUGGUCUGAGAGGAUGAUCAGUCACACUGGAACUGAGACACGGUCCAGACUCCUACGGGAGGCAGCAGUGGGGAAUAUUGGACAAUGGGCGAAAGCCUGAUCCAGCCAUGCCGCGUGUGUGAAGAAGGUCUUCGGAUUGUAAAGCACUUUAAGUUGGGAGGAAGGGCAUUAACCUAAUACGUUAGUGUUUUGACGUUACCGACAGAAUAAGCACCGGCUAACUCUGUGCCAGCAGCCGCGGUAAUACAGAGGGUGCAAGCGUUAAUCGGAAUUACUGGGCGUAAAGCGCGCGUAGGUGGUUCGUUAAGUUGGAUGUGAAAUCCCCGGGCUCAACCUGGGAACUGCAUUCAAAACUGUCGAGCUAGAGUAUGGUAGAGGGUGGUGGAAUUUCCUGUGUAGCGGUGAAAUGCGUAGAUAUAGGAAGGAACACCAGUGGCGAAGGCGACCACCUGGACUGAUACUGACACUGAGGUGCGAAAGCGUGGGGAGCAAACAGGAUUAGAUACCCUGGUAGUCCACGCCGUAAACGAUGUCAACUAGCCGUUGGGAGCCUUGAGCUCUUAGUGGCGCAGCUAACGCAUUAAGUUGACCGCCUGGGGAGUACGGCCGCAAGGUUAAAACUCAAAUGAAUUGACGGGGGCCCGCACAAGCGGUGGAGCAUGUGGUUUAAUUCGAAGCAACGCGAAGAACCUUACCAGGCCUUGACAUCCAAUGAACUUUCCAGAGAUGGAUUGGUGCCUUCGGGAACAU